UGCAUUCUCUAAGUGAACAAUCAGAUUCAUUAAGACAUUCCUGCUGACUUUAGCUCAUAUCUAUAUUUCUGUCCACAGGCGUGUCUCCCCCUCCUGGAGCAGUGCUGGUGUUGCACUCGUUGCUUCUUGAGUUUCCAUUGUCGAUGGCCUUCGCUGAACAGCUGCUAACCUACAGUGUAGGAGAAACCAUAGAGCGCUCUGAGGAUGAGCUGGACACGGUGCCCACUUCUGUGCUCAUUCAGGUCGUGGAGCUGCUAGAACUGUACUGAGUGAGAAAACAACCGUCCUCAAGCCAAAAUCUCCAGAGAAGACCAAACCCGAUGAAAAAGACCCUGAGAAAUCUCCUGCCAAAAAUCUUGAAGGUCAUUAAUAUUACUUUUCUGAUUUCUGAUUUUAUGUGGAAAUUAUAAACACAAACCUCAUAUAUGCUCAUCUAAAUGUAAAAGAUGUUAAAGGGACAGUUAAAUACUGAAAAUUCCUCAUCCGCCACUUGUUUAAAACCUGUUUGAGUUUCUUUUUUCUGUUCAGUCAGAAUUAUUAGCCCCCCUGUCUAUUCUUUCCCCAAUUUCUGUUUAACAGAGAGCAGAUUUCUUCAACACAUUUCUAAACAUAAUAGUUUUAAUAACUCAUUUCUAGUAGCUGAUCUAUUUUAUCUUUGCCAUGAUGACAGUAAAUAAUAUGUGACUAGAUAUUUAACUAGGCAGGUUUGGGUAAUUAGGCAAGUUAUUGUAUAACGAUGGUUUGUUCUGUAGACUAUCAAAAAAUAUAUAGC
Danio rerio (zebrafish) is the source of this 772-nucleotide non-coding RNA. The record is from Ensembl. Lineage: Eukaryota; Metazoa; Chordata; Actinopteri; Cypriniformes; Danionidae.